CAGUAUUUGCAGGGGAAGCAAUUGUGGAGUAAAGUUCCACCAAAUAAAUGAAGCAUAUGAUAUUGUGAUUAGUAAUUUACGAGGGGAAGUGAGCACACCACAAACAGAGAUGUGCGACGAUGGUGAUUCG
Molecule: non-coding RNA, 130 nt
Organism: Erythranthe guttata (spotted monkey flower)
Lineage: Eukaryota; Viridiplantae; Streptophyta; Magnoliopsida; Lamiales; Phrymaceae
Source: RefSeq, a predicted model, not a curated record